Molecule: ribosomal RNA, 478 nt
Filed under: uncultured bacterium
Lineage: Bacteria
Description: partial 16S ribosomal RNA
Rfam family: Bacterial small subunit ribosomal RNA
Source: RNAcentral
GACGAACGCUGGCGGCGUGCUUAACACAUGCAAGUCGAACGGUAAGGCCCUUCGGGGUACACGAGUGGCGAACGGGUGAGUAACACGUGGGUGAUCUGCCCUGCACUUCGGGAUAAGCCUGCGAAACUGGGUCUAAUACCGGAUAGGACCACUGCCUGCAUGGGGGGUGGUGGAAAGCUUUUGCGGUGUGGGAUGGGCCCGCGGCCUAUCAGCUUGUUGGUGGGGUGAUGGCCUACCAAGGCGACGACGGGUAGCCGGCCUGGGAGGGUGACCGGCCACACUGGGACUGAGAUACGGCCCAGGCUCCUACGGGAGGCAGCAGUGGGGAAUAUUGCACAAUGGGCGCAAGCCUGAUGCAGCGACGCCGCGUGAGGGAUGACGGCCUUCGGGUUGUAAACCUCUUUCAGCACCGACGAAGCGCAAGUGACGGUAGGUGCAGAAGAAGGACCGGCCAACUACGUGCCAGCCGCCGCCGUAA